GGGGUUUUUUUUGUUUGUUUGUUUGAGGGUGCUGGUGAAAGGAUACCUCUGGUCUUUAGCACUGCAACUGUCACACAGCCACCACAGGAGCAAUGUCCUAUUUGGAGUGAUCCAUUACUUACCCGUAAGGAUGAGGAUGGCUCGGGGAAGCAGUUCCAUGGAGAUUUGCAACAAGUGGAAGAGCAACAAAGCUAGAGAUUGUUUUACAAAACAAAACCAUCAAAAAGAUUGAAAUACAUGAAGAGAAACAGAACCAAAGGAAGAGAAAGAAGGAUGUAACUGUAAAAGCACUGCAUGCCUCAUCCCACCGCCAUUGAAGUUGAUGGCUGUUUUUCUAUUGAUUUUAAUGGGAUUUGGACUGGACCCUAUGUGCUGUAUAUGCUAGGAGAGAACUGUGAACUGCUGGGAAUGUUAUAUGAUAGUAUACUAGAUGCAUAACAAUGUACAUUGAACAAUCCAAGAGCAAUGCCCAGUAGGAAGGCUUCCAGGACUUCACGGACCCUAACCAAAACUCUCAGUCCGAGAGUAGUGGUGGAGGACUAUUGGAAGUUUGUAGGGAUGGAGCAAGGGGGACUUGGAGGGUUUGACCACUGUAUGUGCUGGUCAAAAACUAGAAACAUUUUCAUGAAAAAAAAUUGAAAUUUUUAUGCAAGAAAAAUUUCCAUCAACGUUUUGCACGUUUGGGAGCAGCUCAGCAUUCUGUACAUUCCCUUGCCAAAUGGAAUUUUGUUGUCAGGGCAGGGCCGGCUCCAGGCACUAGCGCAGCAAGCUGGUGCUUGGGGCGGCCCAAGGAAGGGGACGGCACGUCCGGGUCUUAGGCGGCAAUUCAGGGGCGGGUCCCUCAGUCCCUCAUGGAGGGAAGGACCUGCCGCCGAAUUACCACCAAAGAAUGAAGCGGCGCAGUAGAGCAGCCAUUGAAGUGCCACUAAAAAAGCUGGAGCCGGUCCUGUGUCAGGGUAGUCUCCCAUGUUUUGGCUAGCCCAUUAGUGCCUUAAUCAUUGGGGCUUUUUCCAUUGCCCUUGAGAGGCUAUUUCACAAAUCGAAUAGACCUGAUUGCUGAAAAUGUUUCCUGGUAUCUAGCCUGUUUUGCAACUAAGAAAUUCUGGCAUCCCUUAAAAUAACAAUAAUAAAAUAGGGAACAUUAUUGAAUAAAUAAUAUAGCUCAAACAUUAAUCUAUUUUAAUAACAUACCAAUUAUAAAUUGGUGCAUUUAUUUCCCAUGAAUGUGAAAGGACAGACCCCAGGGAGUUAUUUUGCAAAUUUCCACUCUCAUCCUUUCCAAUACAGAUUUAAUCUCCAGUAUGCUAGUAGUCCAGUUUUUGACUUUACCUCAAUGAAGACUGUAUGUAAUUGACUUUUUAUAACUCAUCAACUUCCCCAUGAGUCCACUGUAUUAAACCCAGUGUGUUUUUAAAAGAUA
Mauremys reevesii (Reeves's turtle) is the source of this 1420-nucleotide long non-coding RNA. RefSeq lists it as uncharacterized. The transcript is spliced from 2 exons. The record is from RefSeq and is a predicted model, not a curated record. NCBI's taxonomy places the organism in Eukaryota, Metazoa, Chordata, Testudines, Geoemydidae.